RNAcentral lists this ribosomal RNA (1237 nucleotides) under metagenome. RNAcentral describes it as "bacterial LSU rRNA". It matches the Rfam family "Bacterial large subunit ribosomal RNA", at positions 1564 to 2810 of the family's 2925-position model. The record is from RNAcentral.
UGAAUACGAGACGCUAAGGCGUCGAAGUAGUGUAUGUCAUACUUCCAAGAAAAGCUUGCACUGUCAUAGAUAAAAAACGCCUGUACCAUAACCGACACAGGUGGGUAGGUAGAGUAUACUAAGGGGCGCGAGAUAACUCUCUCUAAGGAACUCGGCAAAAUAACUCCGUAACUUCGGGAGAAGGAGUGCCUUAUUCGUAAGGUUGCAAUAACAAGAUCCAAGCAACUGUUUAUCAAAAACACAGGUCUCCGCUAAGUCGUAAGACGAUGUAUGGGGGCUGACGCCUGCCCAGUGCCAGAAGGUUAAAGAAGUUGGUUAGCAAUUGCGAAGCUGAUAACUGAAGCCCUGGUGAACGGCGGCCGUAACUAUAACGGUCCUAAGGUAGCGAAAUUCCUUGUCGGGUAAGUUCCGACCCGCACGAAAGGCGUAAUGAUUUGGAUACUGUCUCGGAGAGGGGCUCGGUGAAAUAGACUUGUCUGUGAAGAUGCGGACUACCUGCACCAGGACAGAAAGACCCUAUGAAGCUUUACUGUAACUUGAAAUUGAAAUUGGACUUUAUUCGCGCAGUAUAGGUGGGAGGCGUUGAUUAUAAUCUUGUGGGAUUAUUGGAGCCAUCAGUGAGAUACCACUCUUGUAAUGUUAGAUUUCUAACUUUGAAUCAUUAUCUGGUCAAAGAACAGUUUCAGGCGGGCAGUUUGACUGGGGCGGUCGCCUCCUAAACGGUAACGGAGGCGUACAAAGGUUUCCUCUGAACGGUUAGAAAUCGUAUCUAGAGUGUAAAGGCAUAAGGAAGCUUGACUGUGAGACCUACAAGUCGAGCAGGGACGAAAGUCGGUCUUAGUGAUCUGACGGUACUGAGUAGAAAGGCCGUCACUCAACGGAUAAAAGUUACUCUAAGGAUAACAGGCUGAUCUCCCCCAAGAGUUCACAUCGACGGGGAGGUUUGGCACCUUGAUGUCGGCUCAUCGCAUCCUGGGGCGGUAGUACGUCCCAAGGGUUGGGCUGUUCGCCCAUGAAAGCGGUACGCGAGCUGGGUUCAGAACGUCGUGAGACAGUUCGGUCCAUAUCCGGUGUAGGCGUUAGAAUAUUGAGAGGAGCCUUCUUUAGUACGAGAGGACCGAGAAGGACAUACCUCUGGUGUACCAGUUAUCGUGCCAACGGUAAACGCUGGGUAGCUAUGUAUGGAGUGGAUAACCGCUGAAAGCAUCUAAGUGGGAAGCCCACCUCAAGAUAAGUA